RNAcentral lists this ribosomal RNA (1346 nucleotides) under uncultured bacterium. RNAcentral's name for it is "partial 16S ribosomal RNA". It matches the Rfam family "Bacterial small subunit ribosomal RNA", at positions 28 to 1381 of the family's 1533-position model. The record is from RNAcentral.
GACGAACGCUGGCGGCGUGCUUAACACAUGCAAGUCGAACGGAAAGGCCCUGCUUUUGUGGGGUGCUCGAGUGGCGAACGGGUGAGUAACACGUGAGUAACCUGCCCUUGACUUUGGGAUAACUUCAGGAAACUGGGGCUAAUACCGGAUAGGAGCUCCUGCUGCAUGGUGGGGGUUGGAAAGUUUCGGCGGUUGGGGAUGGACUCGCGGCUUAUCAGCUUGUUGGUGGGGUAGUGGCUUACCAAGGCUUUGACGGGUAGCCGGCCUGAGAGGGUGACCGGCCACAUUGGGACUGAGAUACGGCCCAGACUCCUACGGGAGGCAGCAGUGGGGAAUAUUGCACAAUGGGCAGAAGCCUGAUGCAGCAACGCCGCGUGCGGGAUGACGGCCUUCGGGUUGUAAACCGCUUUCGCCUGUGACGAAGCGUGAGUGACGGUAAUGGGUAAAGAAGCACCGGCUAACUACGUGCCAGCAGCCGCGGUGAUACGUAGGGUGCGAGCGUUGUCCGGAUUUAUUGGGCGUAAAGGGCUCGUAGGUGGUUGAUCGCGUCGGAAGUGUAAUCUUGGGGCUUAACCCUGAGCGUGCUUUCGAUACGGGUUGACUUGAGGAAGGUAGGGGAGAAUGGAAUUCCUGGUGGAGCGGUGGAAUGCGCAGGUAUCAGGAGGAACACCAGUGGCGAAGGCGGUUCUCUGGGCCUUUCCUGACGCUGAGGAGCGAAAGCGUGGGGAGCGAACAGGCUUAGAUACCCUGGUAGUCCACGCUGUAAACGGUGGGUACUAGGUGUGGGGUCCAUUCCACGGGUUCCGUGCCGUAGCUAACGCUUUAAGUACCCCGCCUGGGGAGUACGGCCGCAAGGCUAAAACUCAAAGGAAUUGACGGGGCCCCGCACAAGCGGCGGAGCAUGCGGAUUAAUUCGAUGCAACGCGUAGAACCUUACCUGGGUUUGACAUGGAUCGGGAGUGCUCAGAGAUGGGUGUGCCUCUUUUGGGGUCGGUUCACAGGUGGUGCAUGGCUGUCGUCAGCUCGUGUCGUGAGAUGUUGGGUUAAGUCCCGCAACGAGCGCAACCCUUGUUCACUGUUGCCAGCACGUUAUGGUGGGGACUCAGUGGAGACCGCCGGGGUCAACUCGGAGGAAGGUGGGGAUGACGUCAAGUCAUCAUGCCCCUUAUGUCCAGGGCUUCACGCAUGCUACAAUGGCUGGUACAGAGAGUGGCGAGCCUGUGAGGGUGAGCGAAUCCCGGAAAGCCGGUCUCAGUUCGGAUUGGGGUCUGCAACUCGACCUCAUGAAGUCGGAGUCGCUAGUAAUCGCAGAUCAGCAACGCUGCGGUGAAUACGUUCCCGGGGCU